Molecule: ribosomal RNA, 124 nt
Filed under: Plagiobothrys humilis
Lineage: Eukaryota; Viridiplantae; Streptophyta; Magnoliopsida; Boraginales; Boraginaceae
Also listed under: 1 other name
Description: 5.8S ribosomal RNA
Rfam family: 5.8S ribosomal RNA
About the family: 5.8S ribosomal RNA (5.8S rRNA) is a component of the large subunit of the eukaryotic ribosome.
Source: RNAcentral
AUGAAGAACGUAGCGAAAUGCGAUACUUGGUGUGAAUUGCAGAAUCCCGUGAACCAUCGAGUCUUUGAACGCAAGUUGCGCCCGAGGCCAUUAGGCCGAGGGCACGUCUGCAUGGGCGUCACGC